UUAAUCCUGAGAUGUACGCGAAGCUUAUUAAUUUUAACCUACAUGAGAAAUACGGGAUUUGCAAAACAGCUAAUGAAAUCGGGCUUCAAGUUUUACUUCACUUUUGUGACGGAAGAUGAUCGAGUUAGUUUGCGUAAAACCCACCUGCGAGAGGCAGGUAUAAAAUUGUAAGUGUGACGGCAUAUUUGGGAACAUU
This is a non-coding RNA of Clostridium perfringens str. 13, 196 nucleotides long. It matches the Rfam family "6S / SsrS RNA". Rfam says of the family: E. coli 6S RNA was the first non coding RNA to be sequenced, but its function was unknown until recently. It consists of 184 nucleotides that fold into an extended hairpin structure with a large single-stranded internal bulge. The record is from Rfam. NCBI's taxonomy places the organism in Bacteria, Bacillati, Bacillota, Clostridia, Eubacteriales, Clostridiaceae.